UACGAAGGGGGCUAGCGUUGCUCGGAAUCACUGGGCGUAAAGCGCACGUAGGCGGGUCCUUAAGUCAGGGGUGAAAUCCCGGAGCUCAACUCCGGAACUGCCUUUGAUACUGGGGAUCUUGAGUCCGGAAGAGGUGAGUGGAACUCCGAGUGUAGAGGUGAAAUUCGUAGAUAUUCGGAAGAACACCAGUGGCGAAGGCGGCUCACUGGUCCGGUACUGACGCUGAGGAGCGAAAGCGUGGGGAGCGAACAGG
This 253-nucleotide ribosomal RNA is filed under the name uncultured bacterium. RNAcentral describes it as "partial 16S ribosomal RNA". It matches the Rfam family "Bacterial small subunit ribosomal RNA", at positions 524 to 776 of the family's 1533-position model. The record is from RNAcentral.